RNAcentral lists this ribosomal RNA (247 nucleotides) under uncultured bacterium. Its description in RNAcentral is "partial 16S ribosomal RNA". It matches the Rfam family "Bacterial small subunit ribosomal RNA", at positions 107 to 354 of the family's 1533-position model. The record is from RNAcentral.
UGAGUAACACGUAUCCAACCUGCCGUCUACUCUUGGACAGCCUUCUGAAAGGAAGAUUAAUACAAGAUGGCAUCAUGAGUUCACAUGUUCACAUGAUUAAAGGUAUUCCGGUAGACGAUGGGGAUGCGUUCCAUUAGAUAGUAGGCGGGGUAACGGCCCACCUAGUCUUCGAUGGAUAGGGGUUCUGAGAGGAAGGUCCCCCACAUUGGAACUGAGACACGGUCCAAACUCCUACGGGAGGCAGCAG